GAUGAACGCUGGCGGCGUGCCUAAUACAUGCAAGUCGAGCGAACAGACGAGGAGCUUGCUCCUCUGACGUUAGCGGCGGACGGGUGAGUAACACGUGGAUAACCUACCUAUAAGACUGGGAUAACUUCGGGAAACCGGAGCUAAUACCGGAUAAUAUAUUGAACCGCAUGGUUCAAUAGUGAAAGACGGUUUUGCUGUCACUUAUAGAUGGAUCCGCGCCGCAUUAGCUAGUUGGUAAGGUAACGGCUUACCAAGGCAACGAUGCGUAGCCGACCUGAGAGGGUGUACGGCCACACUGGAACUGAGACACGGUCCAGACUCCUACGGGAGGCAGCAGUAGGGAAUCUUCCGCAAUGGGCGAAAGCCUGACGGAGCAACGCCGCGUGAGUGAUGAAGGUCUUCGGAUCGGAAAACUCUGUUAUUAGGGAAGAACGAAUGUGUAAGUAACUAUGCACAUCUUGACAGUACCUAAUCAGAAAGCCACGGCUAACUACGUG
Molecule: ribosomal RNA, 497 nt
Filed under: uncultured bacterium
Lineage: Bacteria
Description: partial 16S ribosomal RNA
Rfam family: Bacterial small subunit ribosomal RNA
Source: RNAcentral